GCGAAAACUUUACAGUGCGGGAAACCGUGAUAAGGGAACUCUGAGUGCCCGUAAAAUCGGGCUGUCCAUCAGUUUAAAAAACUGGUGAAGAAAGGGCCGGGCAAGACCGGUGCCAGCCGCCGCGGUAAUACCGGCGGCUCGAGUGGUGGCCACUAUUACUGGGCUUAAAGCGUUCGUAGCUGGUUUGUUAAGUCUCUGGGGAAAUCUUCCGGCUCAACCGGAAGGCGUCUCAGGGAUACUGGCAGACUAGGGACCGGGAGAGGUGAGAGGUACUCCAGGGGUAGGAGUGAAAUCCUGUAAUCCUUGGGGGACCACCUGUGGCGAAGGCGUCUCACCAGAACGGCUCCGACAGUGAGGGACGAAAGCUGGGGGAGCAAACC
Molecule: ribosomal RNA, 380 nt
Filed under: uncultured prokaryote
Description: bacterial SSU rRNA
Rfam family: Archaeal small subunit ribosomal RNA
Source: RNAcentral